This is a long non-coding RNA of Octopus bimaculoides (California two-spot octopus), 398 nucleotides long. Lineage: Eukaryota; Metazoa; Mollusca; Cephalopoda; Octopoda; Octopodidae. The record is from RefSeq and is a predicted model, not a curated record.
UAAUCUCUCUUCUCACAUCUCUCUUCUCUCUCUUUCUCUUUCUCUGAAUACAGGAAGGAGACGUGGGCCAAACACGUGACUACGCUGGUGUAAUAUCUUCUUUUACGUCUUUCUUUUAUGUUUUCACUUUCUUCCUCUCGUCCUCCUUGUUUACAAACAGUCGUCAUAGGCAGUUCUCUCUCUCUCUCUAACUGCGUAAUAGAAGAAAAACCAUCCGAUAUUGGUACCAAUUCCUUCUUUCUGCGAGAAAGUUUAUUGCCAAUAAAGAAAUAACUUAAGAUUUAACACAGAUCGUAAGUACCCAUUAGCAACGAAGUUCAAUAAAACAGCAAGUAUUACUGCAUUUUUAUUACUUGGAUCAUACAAUAUUUUACAAUAAAAUAAUUCAUAUCAAUAAA